This 253-nucleotide ribosomal RNA is filed under the name uncultured bacterium. RNAcentral's name for it is "partial 16S ribosomal RNA". It matches the Rfam family "Bacterial small subunit ribosomal RNA", at positions 524 to 776 of the family's 1533-position model. The record is from RNAcentral.
UACGGAGGGAGCUAGCGUUAUUCGGAAUUACUGGGCGUAAAGCGCACGUAGGCGGCUUUGUAAGUUAGAGGUGAAAGCCUGGAGCUCAACUCCAGAACUGCCUUUGAUACUGCAUGGCUUGAAUCCAGGAGAGGUGAGUGGAAUUCCGAGUGUAGAGGUGAAAUUCGUAGAUAUUCGGAAGAACACCAGUGGCGAAGGCGGCUCACUGGACUGGUAUUGACGCUGAGGUGCGAAAGCGUGGGGAGCAAACAGG